GGAGCAAGCGUUAUCCGGAUUUACUGGGUGUAAAGGGAGCGCAGGCGGCCAGGCAAGUCUGAUGUGAAAUACCGGGGCUCAACCCCGGGACUGCUUUGGAAACUGCCUGACUGGAGUGCUGGAGAGGCAAGCGGAAUUCCUAGUGUAGCGGUGAAAUGCGUAGAUAUUAGGAAGAACACCAGUGGCGAAGGCGGCUUGCUGGACAGUAACUGACGUUGAGGCUCGAAAGCGUGGGGAGCAAAC
Molecule: ribosomal RNA, 243 nt
Filed under: uncultured bacterium
Lineage: Bacteria
Description: partial 16S ribosomal RNA
Rfam family: Bacterial small subunit ribosomal RNA
Source: RNAcentral